Long non-coding RNA from Leopardus geoffroyi (Geoffroy's cat), 524 nucleotides. RefSeq lists it as uncharacterized. Lineage: Eukaryota; Metazoa; Chordata; Mammalia; Carnivora; Felidae. The record is from RefSeq and is a predicted model, not a curated record. The transcript is spliced from 2 exons.
CCAGAAGACUCUCAGAUCCUGUAUAAAGUUCUCAAAACGCAACACUGUCAAGUCUGGAGUCCUUGGAAGCCCUUUCCCACACCCCUGUCAUCUCCCGUCUUCAUACAAUCUGGCAUGCAUUUGACAGACGAAGGAACCAUUCUUUGAAGAUGCCUAGUGACUUGACGAGGUCACCUGGCUGCUAGAAGUCUGAGCCAAACUGAAACCCUACAGCUCUUCUGACUCCCAAACCAGUGCUCUUCUCCUGACUCCCACCUCAGAAGCCGCAAGCCUCGCUUGGGGCAGUCACUCUGCAAUCUCCCUGGGAUCUGAACCUUUCCUCAUCAUUGCCACCCACCCACCCCUGCAGAGUGGACUUUCUCCCCUGGCUCUGGCCCUAAAAUGCUUCCACCAGGCCCUAGCAAGGUGGCCUCCCUCAACACUCCUUUCUACAACCAGACCAAGAGGAAGAAUUAACAAUGGGGGAAAAAAAAAAAAAAGGAAGAAAGAAAGAAAAAAGAAAGAACCAAAGAUCCCACUCCAUC